RNAcentral lists this long non-coding RNA (421 nucleotides) under Cyanistes caeruleus (blue tit). Its description in RNAcentral is "lncRNA (ENSCCEG00000005358.1)". The record is from RNAcentral. Lineage: Eukaryota; Metazoa; Chordata; Aves; Passeriformes; Paridae.
ACAGACUAAUCAUCUCUGGACAAGUGCAGGCUCCUUCCAGCAAGUUCUCUGCAAAUGAACAGUUUGUAAACUUCAGCUUAUAGAAAACAGAGGUUGCAAAAAACCCCCAGUUCAUGAGGGACCACCUAAAGCACAAGCUGAGACGGAAUGAUGAAAGAGAGCAGUCUCAUUCCUUUACAGUGUGCCAAGUCUUGUCUGAGAGAAGACAGCUAGGGAUAUAACAAGGAGACACCAAUAUGUUCCAGGUAAAAUAUACAUCAAGAGUAAUAUAAAAGCAAGGACAAGUGUUGGGGCACACUGAGCACCACAAACUAGGGGCAGCCAGAAGCAAUAAUUGUAAGAAUCUUAUGUCCAUUUGAGAUAGCGAGUUUUGGAAUUCUGUGCUGUGUCAGAAGUCCACAGACCCUGUUCUGUAUUUCAG